CGAAGGGCAGCGGGGUUGUAGCAAUACAACUGCCGGCGACCGGCGCACGGGUGAGUAACACGUAUGUAACCUGCCCUCUGCAGGGGGAUAAGCGGAAGAAAUUCCGUCUAAUACCGCAUAAUACAAUUUGGAGACAUCUCCGGGUUGUCAAAGGAGUGAUCCGGCAGAGGAUGGACAUGCGGCGCAUUAGCUAGUCGGCGGGGUAACGGCCCACCGAGGCUACGAUGCGUAGGGGUUCUGAGAGGAAGGUCCCCCACACUGGUACUGAGACACGGACCAGACUCCUACGGGAGGCAGCAGUGAGGAAUAUUGGUCAAUGGGCGGAAGCCUGAACCAGCCAAGUCGCGUGAGGGAAGACGGUCCUAUGGAUUGUAAACCUCUUUUGCAGGGGAGCAAGGCGCGGUACGUGUACCGCGAAGGAGAGUACCCUGAGAAAAAGCAUCGGCUAACUCCGUGCCAGCAGCCGCGGUAAUACGGAGGAUGCGAGCGUUAUCCGGAUUUAUUGGGUUUAAAGGGUGCGCAGGCGGACUGUUAAGUCAGCGGUAAAAUGUCGGUGCUCAACACCGGCCGGCCGUUGAAACUGGCAGCCUUGAGUGAGCGAGAAGUAUGCGGAAUGCGUGGUGUACCGGUGAAAUGCAUAAAUAUCACCCAGAACUCCGAUUGCGAAGGCCGCCUAACCGGCGCUCAACUGAAGCCUCAGGCACGAAAGCGUGGGUCUCCUUUAAAGGCCCCCCCCCCCCCCCCUCCCCCCCACCCCACGACCCUUUAAAAGGAUGGGGGGCCGUUUAAGGCCUGGGUGGUCAAGCGAAAGCGUUAAGCAUUCCACCUGGGGAGUACGCCGGCAACGGUGAAACUCAAAGGAAUUGACGGGGGCCCGCACAAGCGGAGGAACAUGUGGUUUAAUUCGAUGAUACGCGAGGAACCUUACCCGGGCUCAAACGGAAGGGGACAGUAUGAGAAAUCAUACAUUCCUUCGGGACCGCUUCCGAGGUGCUGCAUGGUUGUCGUCAGCUCGUGCCGUGAGGUGUCGGCUUAAGUGCCAUAACGAGCGCAACCCCUAUCGACAGUUGCUAGCAGGUAAAGCUGAGGACUCUGUCGAGACUGCCGGCGCAAGCUGUGAGGAAGGCGGGGAUGACGUCAAAUCAGCACGGCCCUUACGUCCGGGGCGACACACGUGUUACAAUGGCAGGUACAGCGGGAAGCCACCCGGCGACGGGGCGCAGAACCCGAAAACCUGUCUCAGUUCGGAUUGGAGUCUGCAACCCGACUCCAUGAAGCUGGAUUCGCUAGUAAUC
RNAcentral lists this ribosomal RNA (1295 nucleotides) under uncultured bacterium. RNAcentral describes it as "partial 16S ribosomal RNA". It matches the Rfam family "Bacterial small subunit ribosomal RNA", at positions 63 to 1343 of the family's 1533-position model. The record is from RNAcentral.